GUGGGGAAUUUUGGACAAUGGGCGAAAGCCUGAUCCAGCAAUGCCGCGUGUGUGAAGAAGGCCUUCGGGUUGUAAAGCACUUUUGUCCGGAAAGAAAUCCUCUGGGUUAAUACCUCGGGGGGAUGACGGUACCGGAAGAAUAAGCACCGGCUAACUACGUGCCAGCAGCCGCGGUAAUACGUAGGGUGCAAGCGUUAAUCGGAAUUACUGGGCGUAAAGCGUGCGCAGGCGGUUUUGUAAGACGGAUGUGAAAUCCCCGGGCUUAACCUGGGAACUGCAUUCGUGACUGCAAGGCUAGAGUAUGGCAGAGGGGGGUAGAAUUCCACGUGUAGCAGUGAAAUGCGUAGAGAUGUGGAGGAAUACCGAUGGCGAAGGCAGCCCCCUGGGCCAAUACUGACGCUCAUGCACGAAAGCGUGGGGAGCAAACA
Molecule: ribosomal RNA, 428 nt
Filed under: uncultured bacterium
Lineage: Bacteria
Description: bacterial SSU rRNA
Rfam family: Bacterial small subunit ribosomal RNA
Source: RNAcentral